CUGAGAAUUGUUCAGAGGUGCCUAUUCCCCGACCGGAACUACAAUUCCCAGAGUAAUUUAACAAUCAAUCCCUCUUCACAGGGAACUCUGCGUAUGUUUGUUUCAGCCCUGAGUGAGAGUCAAGAGGCUGAGUAGGGAAGGAAAAAGAACUGACAGUGGUUUAAGUGGAUGAGUAUGUUUGUAUUAUUGCAAUGUUUUUUAAAUGUUUAUUUUUGUAAAAUUAGUUUUGGUUGUUUGUUGCUGUUUUUGUAUUCUGUGCACCAGGGAUGUCCAACAGGUCGAUCGCAAUCUACUGGUAGAUCCCUGGCAGGUUUUGGUAGAUCACGGUCGGUCGAUGGGUCCCUUUCCUUAGUGUUGGUAAAAUAGAAUCCGGCCCUGAACUCCUCGCUCUGCCCUCCAUUGUUGCACGAUCUGCAGAACGGAAAACGGAGUUUACUCAGUGAGGCAGUUUGUUUCCCCAGCGAUCUGUUGGUAAGUGGCUGCUCCCCUUUCUCCCUUGAGCUUAGGCUUGAAUUCUAAAAAAAUCAGGGCUUUCCUCCUCCCUAAAAAUAGCUCAACAACUUUGACCUGAACCCCCGAAAAGGGGGUAGAUCACUGCCAGUUUUUAAUUCUGUGAGUAGAUCACAGUCUCUUGGGAGUUGGCCACCCCUGCUGUACAUGAUAGAUAGAUAGAUAGAUAGAUAGAUAGAUAAAAAGGUAAAGGGACCCCUGACCAUUAGGUCCAGUUGUGGACGAUUCUGGGGUUGCGGCGCUCAUCUCGCCAAGGGAGCUGACGUACAGCUUCUGGGUCAUGUGGCCAGCAUGACUAAGCCACUUCUGGCAAACCAGAGCAGCACACGGAAACGCCGUUUACCUUCCCGCCGGAGCAGUACCUAUUUAUCUACUUGCACUUUGACGUGCUUUCGAACUGCUAGGUUGGCAGGAGCAGGGACCGAGCAACGGGAGCUCACCCCGUCAUGGGGAUUCAAACAGCUGACCUUCUGAUCGGCAAGUCCUAGGCUCUGUGGUUUAACCCACAGCGUCACCUGCGUCCCUUUGAUAGAUAGAUAGAUAAAAUAAAAGAAUCCAACUCCAUUUACCUGGGAGUAAACCCCACUGUAUUCAAGAGGACUUACUGUUUGAGUAGCUGUCAGUGACUAUUAGCCACAAUGACCGUGCUCUACCUCCAUGGCUGGAGACAGUAAUGCUUUUGAAUACCAGCUGCUGGAAACCACAGAAGAGGAAAAUGCUCUUGUCCUACUUGCGGCCUUCUCAAUGGGGCAUCUAAUUGGUCAGUGUGGGGAAAGGAUGCUAGGCUAGAUGAGCCAUUGGCCUGAUCCAGCAGGUUCUUCUUAUGUUCUUAUAAUGAACAUAUAGAUGAUGGGGUUCUAUUUAUGCAUGUGUGCAUGUGUGUGCGUGUGUGUGUGUGUGUGUGUGUGUGUGUGCAUGUAUAAGAGAGAGAGAGAGAGAAUAGGAGAGAUCGCUAUACUGUUGAGUUCAGUUCUAAAGGAUUGGGUGUCAGUCUCCAAACAAGUCUGCCAUCACGUUUUCCGCAGCAGGGACUUUAUGUCUGUGCACUAUGCUCAGCACCGCAUCUCCAUAGCAAGCCCCAAACCCCAUACAAACAGCACAUCAAAGACAUCUGGAAAGCGGAAGGUAAUUUGCACUGCUUCAACUCCUCACCGAUAAGUCUCCAGCAAUUAUUCUUGCAGAGAGGAGAAUGCAAGUUUCGGUGUAAUUAGGCCAAGCUGAUGUGCUUAAGAACCAAGGUGGAGAGAGAAAAUGGAAUAAAGGGACCCUGCUGACCCUUAGCUAUUUCUUUAAAAUACACACUCAGAGACCACAUUCAGUGAGUUCUCUUCAGACCUUGAAGCAUUUAAAAUAAUGCAGUUUCAUCUCACACCACAGGUUUUUCUUUUCUAUUUUGACUUCCAGCAAAAGAUUCUGGACAUGACGAACAUCAUAGGAGAGAGACUGUGGGGUGGAGGGGAUGCCAGGAGGGUUUUACCUUCUCAGAAAAACAGCGGUGCUAUUGUCUAAUAAACAGUGAAUCCAUAACCAGAGUAAUUUCUCUGCCAGGAACAAAGUGGGGAUUCCUGCAGAAAGUUGACUUGCCAUCAAUUCUGGAGGGUUUUUUGUUCGUUAAUUCUUUAAAGUGAGAGUUGAAACAAGCUGAUUGGUUCUAAGUUUGAAUCUUGAAAACGUAACCAAUUAUUGAGUUCCAUUUGGGGGUUUCGACAAACCUCAAAGCUUGCAGCUAGUGCUAGUCUUAUUAAGAGUAGACCAAUGGAAAAUAAUGACCCAUUGGAAAUAUUGUUGUUGUGAUUGUUUAGUUGUUUAGUCGUGUCCAACUCUUCGUGAUCCCAUGGACCAGAGCACGCCAGGCACUCCUGUCUUCCACUGUCUCCAGCAGUUUGGUCAAACUCAUGCUUGUAGCUUCGAGAACACCGUCCAACCAUCUCAUCCUCUGUCGUCCCCUUCUUUCCCAACAGCAGGGUCUUUUCCAGGGAGUCUUCUCUUCUCAUGAGGUGGCCAAAGUAUUGGAGCCUCAGCUUCAGGAUCUGUCCUUCCAGUGAGCACUCAGGGCUGAUUUCCUUAUGAAUGGAUAGGUUUGAUCUUCUUGCAGUCCAUGGGACUCUCAAGAGUCUCCUCCAGCACCAGAAUUCAAAAGCAUCAAUUCUUUGGUGAUCAGCCUUCUUUAUGGUCCAGCUCUCACUUCCAUACAUCACUACUGGGAGAAGCAUAGCCUUAACUAUACGGACCUUUGUUGGCAAGGUGAUGUCUCUGCUUUUUAAGAUGCUGUCUAGGUUUGUCAUUGCCUGGAAAUAUUGGCUUAUGCCAAUAGCCGAUCUAGUCCAGCAUCCUGUUCUCGCAAUGGCCAACUACAUGCCUGUGCAAACCCCGCAAGCAAGACGCCAGCACUAGAGCACUCUCAGCUCUUGCAGUUUCUGGCAACUGGUAUUCAACCCCUCUUCCCAGGUAACUCUGGGAACUGUGGUUUUGUGAGGAAAAUAGGGGUCUCAACACCCUUAACAAACUACCCUUCCUGUGAUUAUUCGGGGGGAACCACAACUGUGUUGAGUGGUAUGAUACCGAUUUAAAUUCAUAGUUCGGAUGGAGGCAGAGAAUGGUUCAGGGUUAUGAAUAGCUGUUUAUUGUUGCAUUGUUGUGCCUCUGUGGUCUAGUUAUGUGCUUUCCCCCUUCCCAAUUCUAAGAACCCUGUAGCUCAAGGCCACCCCCCAAAACAUCAUACACACAUCACAGAAAGAGGUGGUCCCCAGCAGAAAUUUGAGUGUGUUGCUUCUCUCCUGUUUGCCAGGAUACCUGAUAAUGCCUUAUCUGAAUGCCUUUUCUGGGUAGCCUGGCCAUUCCUUUGAGAUGGUAAAUACUUAGAUCCUGAAUCUCUUACGCAUAUUGAUAGUGUGCUCAGCUUAGCAGAUACUUCUCAGACUGUAUUUGCAGGGAGGUGUAAGCCCCUAUGGUCCAAAGACAAUUGGAAAGCUUUUCCCAUAUCCUUCCUCCUUGCAGAGAAAUAUUUGAGGUCAAUUUGGGAGAGUCAAAAUGGCUGCAGAAUUGUUCUCCUGUACUAUUUCAGACACAUAGUUUAUAUACUUAAGUAUGUGUUUGCCUUGUACAUUUAUGAAAUAUAUAUAUAUAUAUGACCUUAGAAUUCCUAUAACAUACACAAACAUUUUUUACAUGGCAAGGUGUUCCAGAUGUUAGGUUUCUGUUUGUACCACUGCUUCUUCAGCUGCUCUGAUAAAACUGAAACAAUGGUGUUUCCACAGGGGCAGUUCUAGGACUUUGGGGAUGGAAUGCUCAGAAUGGCUUCAUCGGCUGAAUCUUUGCAAAACUGAUCCUAUACUGCAGAUUGUUCAUGCGUCCACCAUCCAGAAGUUCAUUACAUUUUUAUCAGAGCGGCUGCUGAAAGUGGGAGCUGAACUCCUUUGCCACAUUAAAAACCAACAAGGUUAAUCACAAGGAGGGUUAUAAAUUCUAUGAACGGAAAUGAAUUUGCAAGCCAGUCUUUAUAUCUCUGAACUAGUUGCUAUUUGCUGCUGCUGCUGCAUGUGUGUGUGUGUGUGUGUGUGUGUGUGUGUGAUCUUCCGCUUGUUGGUGCUAGUAGUUAAAACGGCAUCUUCUUCCUUACAGCCUCAGAAACUCUUUGCAAACUCAACAGGAUGUAAUCAUACCUUCUCUGCGGAACAGCCACUGUUUCCAUGUUCUUGACCUCAUAUGAUUGCAGGGUUGCAUGAGGCAGCUUUCAACAACAGUUUGAGUUUCAAAAAAGGGGAGCCCUCUGCAUGGAUUGUCAAUGUAAUUGUUUCUCUUAAAAGGCACUCUCUGCCCUUUUAAAUCUUUUCCUUUCAGUCUUCAACCUGUCGUCCUCACACACACACACA
Molecule: long non-coding RNA, 4382 nt
Filed under: Podarcis lilfordi (Lilford's wall lizard)
Lineage: Eukaryota; Metazoa; Chordata; Lepidosauria; Squamata; Lacertidae
Source: RNAcentral